UACGAAGGGGGCUAGCGUUGUUCGGAAUUACUGGGCGUAAAGCGCACGUAGGCGGACUAUUAAGUCAGGGGUGAAAUCCCGGGGCUCAACCCCGGAACUGCCUUUGAUACUGGUAGUCUCGAGUCCGGAAGAGGUGAGUGGAAUUCCGAGUGUAGAGGUGAAAUUCGUAGAUAUUCGGAGGAACACCAGUGGCGAAGGCGACUCUUUGGCCUGUAACUGACGCUGAGGCGCGAAAGCGUGGGGAGCAAACAGG
RNAcentral lists this ribosomal RNA (253 nucleotides) under uncultured bacterium. RNAcentral's name for it is "partial 16S ribosomal RNA". It matches the Rfam family "Bacterial small subunit ribosomal RNA", at positions 524 to 776 of the family's 1533-position model. The record is from RNAcentral.